UCGAGCGAGAAAGUUCCCUUCGGGGAGCGAGUACAGCGGCGAACGGGUGAGUACAACGUAGGUAACCUACCCCCGAGACUGGGAUAACCUGUCGAAAGACGGGCUAAUACCGGAUAAGACCACGAGGGCUGCGGCCUUUGGGGUAAAAGAUGGCCUCUAUUUAUAAGCUAUCACUCGAGGAGGGGCCUGCGCGCCAUUAGCUAGUUGGUGGGGUAAAGGCCCACCAAGGCGAAGAUGGCUAACUGGUCUGAGAGGAUGGCCAGUCACACUGGGACUGAGACACGGCCCAGACUCCUACGGGAGGCAGCAGUGGGGAAUAUUGCGCAAUGGGCGAAAGCCUGACGCAGCGACGCCGCGUGGGUGAUGAAGGCCUUCGGGUCGUAAAGCCCUGUCGGGAGGGAAGAAAUCUCAUCGGCCUAAUAUGCCGAUGACUUGACGGUACCUCUUAAGGAAGCACCGGCUAACUCCGUGCCAGCAGCCGGGGUAAUACGGAGGGUGCAAGCGUUG
RNAcentral lists this ribosomal RNA (507 nucleotides) under uncultured bacterium. RNAcentral describes it as "bacterial SSU rRNA". It matches the Rfam family "Bacterial small subunit ribosomal RNA", at positions 62 to 543 of the family's 1533-position model. The record is from RNAcentral.